Molecule: long non-coding RNA, 2622 nt
Filed under: Prunus dulcis (almond)
Lineage: Eukaryota; Viridiplantae; Streptophyta; Magnoliopsida; Rosales; Rosaceae
Description: sRNA ncRNA
Source: RNAcentral
CAGGGAGCUAAGCAAAGUGUUGAGGAGAGUGUGUGAGAGGAGAGAUAACACUACAAAUUUACACCUGACACAUACACACAAACACUCUCUCUCUACUCUUUCUCUCUCUAAACUCAGUCCUCUUUAUCUUCUUUCUUCUUUUUGGGUUUUUCUUUCUGGGUUGAUUCUCUGAUUCAUUAAUUUCUGGGGGGUUUUUUCAUUUUUGGUUCCCCUUAAUUAAUUGAUAUGGAGUUCGAGGAUCAAGAGGAGCACGACGAAGAGAUGGAGAUGGCGGCGAGUUACGACUCGCUCGGAAACUCAGCGGGUGGCGUCCGGGUCAAAAUGUCGAGUUCUGGACCCGAGGGCGUGGCAGCAAUAACGGCGGCGGCGGCGGCGUCUCAGCAGCAGCAGCAGCAGCAACAACAGCAACAGCAGCAGAGGAAGGGCGCCUCGAGGUACAGAGAGUGCCUGAAGAACCACGCGGUCGGGAUUGGAGGCCACGCGCUCGACGGCUGCGGCGAGUUCAUGCCGGCCGGUGCCGAGGGCACGCUCGACGGGCUAAAAUGCGCAGCCUGCAACUGCCACCGCAACUUCCACCGCAAGGAGGGCGACUCGGGCGGGCUCGCGCUCAUGACCCCCGACCCGUACGGGCAGCUGGUGCCGCUCCACGGGCAGCACAACCACCCGCAGUUCUCGCCGUACUACCGGACGCCAGCAGGGUACCUCCACUUGGCGCCGCACCACAGGCCUCUGGCCCUGCCGUCGACUUCGGGAGGGGGCGGGACCCACAGCAGGGGGGAGGAGCAGGAGGACGACGUGUCGAAUCCUAGCGGAGGCGGCGGCGGCGGAGGGGAUUUGGGAAUGGGAGGGGGGUUACAUGGAACGGCGUCUUCCGGGAAGAAGAGGUUCAGGACGAAGUUUACGGCGGAGCAGAAGGAGAGGAUGUUGACUUUGGCGGAGACGCUGGGGUGGAGGAUUCAGAAGCAGGACGAGCCGGCGAUUCAGCAGUUCUGCAACGAGACUGGAGUGAAGCGUCACGUCCUCAAGGUUUGGAUGCAUAACAACAAGCACACUCUGGGUAAGAAACCCUAGCUAGCUGAUCAUGCUUGUUAAGCUAGAAACCAAACAAACCCAGAACAAGGAAGACAAUGAACAUGAAAAACAACCCAAAACCCACAAGUAUAUCAUCAUUCUUGGUCAUCUUCAUCUCAUCAUUUCUCUCUUUCUCUAUCAGUCGACCGAUCUUCUGGAUCUUUUGUACUUAUUAGUUUAAUUAGGACAACACUUCGCUAGCUCUAGCAGUUGUAGUAGGAUUUAUCAGCUAGAGGUAAUUUUCUUCUGGUCAAGGUGGCGAAACUGAUCAGGAACAAAAAUCAGCAUCAUGUGCCUGCAGCUGACUUUGUUGAGAAAUUCUACUGCUUUUCCGGGAUUUUAAUUAGUGUUUUAAUUAGGGUUUCUUUUUAUUUUAAAUCUUUUUUCUUAAAUUUAUUGACUAGUGUAGUGAUCAUCAUCCGUGUUAUUUGAACACUUGAUUUAGAUGAGUGUGAAAUCUCUCUCAUUGUUGUGAUCAAUGUCCCAUUUGAUCGUUUCAUUAAUUAGUGCAUGUAAAAUAUAUUAAUCAUAUAUCUUUGCUUAAUCAUCCUCCUAAUUUAAUUAUAUGGGUUGAUCAAUGUUGAUGAGUAUGCAGUGUUUAGCUGUUGGUUAUGAUCAUCAUAGAGUAUAGACUAUAGAGGGAGGACCAUCUGUUCGUAGGCUUUGUGUGGUCUUAAUAAUAAGACUUGUGCGAUCCAUGCUGCAUUUUCCGUUUUCUAUAUGUACCAUCUCUUUUUUUUUUUUUACAUGUGUUUGUUUGUACGUUUCUGUGUCAUUCAUUUACUUCUCUUCCCUUCAAUCCCAUGCCUUUUUGUUUUCGUCCACGAAUCUCAGACUCUGUUGAUUUUAUGUUGAGAAGCAUUAAUUGUAUGAGAUGCUGUUGUUCAAUGAUCAGUACUUUAUCUCUUUCCUUUUUUCACUGCUUAAUUUAAUUUUUUUUCUCUCUCUCUUUGUCUGGAUCUCAUGCUCUUCUGAAGGGCCUUCAAAUGAUGAACCCAACCCGAGUUGAAAAGGGAUGAUGAUCUUUGGGACCUAGCUUUCAUAUUCUCUGGUCUGUUUCUUUCUGCUGCCAAGUUUUUGUCUUUGCUCUUUCUUGCAUUGCAAACACUGCUUUUACUUUUGCAGUCAUGAGUGCAGAAUAUAUAUAUAUAUAUAUAAAAUAUUAAUUGAUAUCCAUGAAUUUCUUUCUUUUUGAAAAAUUUAGAGUAUUUUAUGAGGUUGGUUACUUUGAUCCAUGUAAUCAUAUGAUGGAGCUUGUCUGGUGUAGAGGGUAGAACCCAGAUGUUUGAUAUCCCUGAUCUGAUGGGGUCACCUUGGGAAGGAAAACAAAGACCUCAAAGUUAUUCAAUUAUUUGAUUUUGUUGUUAAAUAAUAAUAAUAAUUAUUAUUAUUAUUAUACUAUUCAUUUUUCUACUGUUUUGUUUUCUCUUGGGAAAGAAGAUAUAUUAUCAGCUAGAGAAACAGUAGUUUUUGUUUUCAUGGAAACUCAAGUCCAAAAUGUGGGUUCAGUCCAUGUUGGAGAGAAAGUUGAUAGAUCCAAAGCUUGGUCUC